This 421-nucleotide ribosomal RNA is filed under the name uncultured bacterium. RNAcentral describes it as "bacterial SSU rRNA". It matches the Rfam family "Bacterial small subunit ribosomal RNA", at positions 355 to 774 of the family's 1533-position model. The record is from RNAcentral.
UAAGGAAUAUUGGUCAAUGGACGCAAGUCUGAACCAGCCAUGCCGCGUGAAGGAUGAAGGUCCUCUGGAUUGUAAACUUCUUUUAUCCGGGACGAAAACGGGAUUUUUAUCUCAAUUGACGGUACCAGAGGAAUAAGCACCGGCUAACUCCGUGCCAGCAGCCGCGGUAAUACGGAGGGUGCGAGCGUUAUCCGGAUUUACUGGGUUUAAAGGGUGCGUAGGUGGGCUUAUAAGUCAGUGGUGAAAUCUCCGAGCUUAACUUGGAAACUGCCGUUGAUACUAUAGGUCUUGAAUUAUCUGGAGGUAAGCGGAAUAUGUCAUGUAGCGGUGAAAUGCUUAGAUAUGACAUAGAACACCAAUUGCGAAGGCAGCUUACUACAUAUAAAUUGACGCUGAGGCACGAAAGCGUGGGGAUCAAACA